This 465-nucleotide ribosomal RNA is filed under the name Vreelandella stevensii. RNAcentral describes it as "partial 16S ribosomal RNA". It matches the Rfam family "Bacterial small subunit ribosomal RNA", at positions 338 to 795 of the family's 1533-position model. The record is from RNAcentral. Lineage: Bacteria; Pseudomonadati; Pseudomonadota; Gammaproteobacteria; Oceanospirillales; Halomonadaceae.
CCUACGGGCGGCUGCAGUGGGGAAUAUUGGACAAUGGGGGCAACCCUGAUCCAGCCAUGCCGCGUGUGUGAAGAAGGCCCUCGGGUUGUAAAGCACUUUCAGUGAGGAAGAACGCCUGGUGGUUAAUACCCAUCAGGAAAGACAUCACUCACAGAAGAAGCACCGGCUAACUCCGUGCCAGCAGCCGCGGUAAUACGGAGGGUGCGAGCGAUAAUCGGAAUUACUGGGCGUAAAGCGCGCGUAGGUGGCUUGAUAAGCCGGUUGUGAAAGCCCCGGGCUCAACCUGGGAACGGCAUCCGGAACUGUCAAGCUAGAGUGCAGGAGAGGAAGGUAGAAUUCCCGGUGUAGCGGUGAAAUGCGUAGAGAUCGGGAGGAAUACCAGUGGCGAAGGCGGCCUUCUGGACUGACACUGACACUGAGGUGCGAAAGCGUGGGUAGCAAACAGGAUUAGAUACCCUGGUAGUC